AGCUCCGAACAGGAAGAGGACGAAAAAAAUAACCGUCCGCGACGCCGAGACAAACCGGACCCGCAACCACCAUGAACAGCAAAGGUCAAUAUCCAACACAGCCAACCUACCCUGUGCAGCCUCCUGGGAAUCCAGUAUACCCUCAGACCUUGCAUCUUCCUCAGGCUCCACCCUAUACCGAUGCUCCACCUGCCUACUCAGAGGUGCUUCCAGUUUGCCAGAUUUGAACUAGCUGGGAAUACUCUUAGGGUGGUCCUUUAGUCCUUAGCUAAAUCUGACUUCACAUAUUUACUCUUCACAAAUGUUAACAUGAAUAAUCUAAAACACUAUAUAAUUUGGCAAUUUUUGUCGGAGUUGAAAGUGCAUUAUUUGAUGAUUUUGUGUUAUUUGGCACAGGCUGAGGUGCAGAAGAUGAAUUUGCGUCCUGUGAGCCCAACAUUAGCUAUAGCAGAAAGUGAUCCAGGAGAAUAUUGAAGGCCAGUGGAAAGGCAACUUGUAUAAUCUUACAAAAAGUAUAACCUGCACAAGGAGAAUUAAGAAUUAGCUCAUUAAAGAGAUCUCAAAUAGGAAUGUCAUAAAGUAACAUUUUGCCUUCUCU
This 598-nucleotide small RNA is filed under the name Pan troglodytes (chimpanzee). RNAcentral describes it as "retained intron". Lineage: Eukaryota; Metazoa; Chordata; Mammalia; Primates; Hominidae. The record is from RNAcentral.